CUUCAUUCUUUCUGUCACAUUUUAGUUAAUUCUUUCACCAGUCCUCACUGAGAUAUUGCAAUAAUUUCCAAGAGGACCCUUUUGUCUGAAGAUUUUGCCCCCUUCAAAUUAUCUCUAAGAAGGAUCUCCUGUUUUUAUCCCAGUGCUAAGCCUCCAAUGGUGCUUCACUUCUUCAGGAAGAUGCACGGCUCACAGGCCACACAGGGCUCAGCAGGUCACAGCCACAGAUUCUCACAGGCAAAGACGAGAGGAUGGAUAAACAAGGGUUUGCCAAGGAGAAGAUGCCAGUGUCACACUUUCUCCCUCAGUGUGUUCAGAUGGGAUUGGAAAGUCUCCCUGGCCACACAGGAUCCACGACAGCAUAGCGUGUCGGAGUUCACUGCUUACUGUUCUAAUGCAGUGUCAGCCCAUCUGCGUUGCCAUAAAGGAAUAUCUAAGACUGAGUGAUCGAUGAAGAACACAGGUUUGUUUUGGCUCAUGGUUCUGCAGGCUGUAUAGAAAGCACAGUGCUGGUAUCUGCUACUGGUGAAG
RNAcentral lists this long non-coding RNA (531 nucleotides) under Cercocebus atys (sooty mangabey). RNAcentral's name for it is "lncRNA (ENSCATG00000045388.1)". The record is from RNAcentral. Lineage: Eukaryota; Metazoa; Chordata; Mammalia; Primates; Cercopithecidae.